CAGAAAGACCCUAUGAAGCUUUACUGUAACUUGAAAUUGAAAUUGGACUUUAGUCGCGCAGUAUAGGUGGGAGGCGUUGAAAAUAUUCUUGCGGGAAUAUUGGAGCCAUCAGUGAGAUACCACUCUUCUAAUGUUAGAUUUCUAACUCUGUAUCAUUAUCUGGUCAGAGAACAGUUUCAGGCGGGCAGUUUGACUGGGGCGGUCGCCUCCCAAAUGGUAACGGAGGCGUACAAAGGUUUCCUCUGAACGUGUAGAAAUCGUAUCUAGAGUGUAAAGGCAUAAGGAAGCUUGACUGUGAGACUUACAAGUCGAGCAGGGACGAAAGUCGGUCUUAGUGAUCUGACGGUACUGAGUGGAAAGGCCGUCACUCAACGGAUAAAAGUUACUCUAGGGAUAACAGGCUGA
Molecule: ribosomal RNA, 405 nt
Filed under: Pseudoscourfieldia sp.
Lineage: Eukaryota; Viridiplantae; Chlorophyta; Pseudoscourfieldiophyceae; Pseudoscourfieldiales; Pseudoscourfieldiaceae
Description: partial large subunit ribosomal RNA
Rfam family: Bacterial large subunit ribosomal RNA
Source: RNAcentral